GAAAUGCGAUAAGUAAUGUGAAUUGCAGAAUUCAGUGAAUCAUCGAAUCUUUGAACGCACAUUGCGCCCGCCAGUAUUCUGGCGGGCAUGCCUGUCCGAGCGUCAUUUCAACCAUCAAGCCCCCGGGCUUGUGUUGGGGACCUGCGGCUGCCCGCAGGCCCUGAAAACCAGUGGCGUGCUCGCUGUCACACCGAGCGUAGUAGCAAUCACCUCGCUCAGGGCGUGCUGCGGGUUCCGGCCGUUAAACAGCCUUACAAAACCCAAGGUUGACCUCGGAUCAGGUAGGAAGACCCGCUGAACUUAAGC
RNAcentral lists this unclassified non-coding RNA (306 nucleotides) under plant metagenome. RNAcentral describes it as "partial contains 5.8S ribosomal RNA, internal transcribed spacer 2, and large subunit ribosomal RNA". The stretch from base 1 to 105 matches the Rfam family "5.8S ribosomal RNA", at positions 50 to 154 of the family's 154-position model. The record is from RNAcentral.